AUGCAUUGGGAAUUUGGGCUAGAGGUGGACCUGAGAUACCUGGGGAUAUUUCUUUACAGAAAUGUCACUGAGCAAACUUUCCGCAGAUAUAAUUUUAGCACCGCCGUGUUUUUGUUGUACGUUCAGUUCGUGCGUCCAUGCGCGUACAAUCAUGACUUGAGUUUGUUUGAGCGCCUCAAUACACACGUGGAGGGCCUAAUUGACCAUUCAGUCGAGGAACAACACACAACUGAAGAUGGAGGCCUGGUUGCCAGGCCCCAGGCGUGGCACAAGCAAGAUGAAGACCAUGGCAUCGUCCGAUCACGAGAUUGCCUUGUGGCGGCCACGAACCUCCCACCCCUUCUCUUCUUCCCCUCCCUAGGCUCCCUCGAUUGUAGUGUUUUGUAG
Molecule: ribosomal RNA, 387 nt
Filed under: Triticum aestivum (bread wheat)
Lineage: Eukaryota; Viridiplantae; Streptophyta; Magnoliopsida; Poales; Poaceae
Description: partial small subunit ribosomal RNA
Source: RNAcentral